GCCAUCCCUUCGUUUCCUCCGUCAUUUUCUGGCUUUUGAUUUUGCUGUUCAAGAAAUUAAUAAUGACAGAAACCUUCUACCAAACACCACCCUGGGGUAUUCAAUCUAUGACUCUUGUUUCUUAGCCAAUAAAGCACAGGAAGCCACAUUAAAAAUUCUAUCAGGUGGAACAAAUCACCCUUUUAAUUACAGCUGCAAGAAGAAUUAUACAGUUGUGGGGUUCAUUGGACAUUUUCUCUCUUCAGUAACACGCUCAAUGGCAGACAUUCUCUCCAUCUAUGGCUACACACAAGUGAGAAA
This 300-nucleotide long non-coding RNA is filed under the name Pelobates cultripes (western spadefoot toad). Lineage: Eukaryota; Metazoa; Chordata; Amphibia; Anura; Pelobatidae. The record is from RNAcentral.